ACCUGGCUGGCUCUGUCAGUUGAGCAUGGGACUCUUGAUCUCAGGGUUAGGAGUUCAAGCCUCAUGCUGGGUG
RNAcentral lists this transfer RNA (73 nucleotides) under Ailuropoda melanoleuca (giant panda). It matches the Rfam family "tRNA". From Rfam's summary of the family: Transfer RNA (tRNA) molecules are approximately 80 nucleotides in length. Their secondary structure includes four short double-helical elements and three loops (D, anti-codon, and T loops). Further hydrogen bonds mediate the characteristic L-shaped molecular structure. tRNAs have two regions of fundamental functional importance: the anti-codon, which is responsible for specific mRNA codon recognition, and the 3' end, to which the tRNAs corresponding amino acid is attached (by aminoacyl-tRNA synthetases). tRNAs cope with the degeneracy of the genetic code in two manners: having more than one tRNA (with a specific anti-codon) for a particular amino acid; and 'wobble' base-pairing, i.e. permitting non-standard base-pairing at the 3rd anti-codon position. The record is from Rfam by way of RNAcentral. Lineage: Eukaryota; Metazoa; Chordata; Mammalia; Carnivora; Ursidae.